RNAcentral lists this transfer RNA (73 nucleotides) under Stegodyphus mimosarum. It matches the Rfam family "tRNA". From Rfam's summary of the family: Transfer RNA (tRNA) molecules are approximately 80 nucleotides in length. Their secondary structure includes four short double-helical elements and three loops (D, anti-codon, and T loops). Further hydrogen bonds mediate the characteristic L-shaped molecular structure. tRNAs have two regions of fundamental functional importance: the anti-codon, which is responsible for specific mRNA codon recognition, and the 3' end, to which the tRNAs corresponding amino acid is attached (by aminoacyl-tRNA synthetases). tRNAs cope with the degeneracy of the genetic code in two manners: having more than one tRNA (with a specific anti-codon) for a particular amino acid; and 'wobble' base-pairing, i.e. permitting non-standard base-pairing at the 3rd anti-codon position. The record is from Rfam by way of RNAcentral. Lineage: Eukaryota; Metazoa; Arthropoda; Arachnida; Araneae; Eresidae.
GCCUUCGUGUUGUAGUGGUCAGCACGCUCGACGCGUAACCGAGAGGUCAGUGGUUCGAUUCCCGGCGAAGGCG